GCCGGCUUAGCUCAUCGGGUAGAGCAGGCGAUUUGUAAUCGUCAGGUGGCGGGUUCAAGUCCUGCAGCCGGCACCU
RNAcentral lists this transfer RNA (76 nucleotides) under Burkholderia sp. Bp9126. RNAcentral describes it as "tRNA-Thr". It matches the Rfam family "tRNA". Rfam says of the family: Transfer RNA (tRNA) molecules are approximately 80 nucleotides in length. Their secondary structure includes four short double-helical elements and three loops (D, anti-codon, and T loops). Further hydrogen bonds mediate the characteristic L-shaped molecular structure. tRNAs have two regions of fundamental functional importance: the anti-codon, which is responsible for specific mRNA codon recognition, and the 3' end, to which the tRNAs corresponding amino acid is attached (by aminoacyl-tRNA synthetases). tRNAs cope with the degeneracy of the genetic code in two manners: having more than one tRNA (with a specific anti-codon) for a particular amino acid; and 'wobble' base-pairing, i.e. permitting non-standard base-pairing at the 3rd anti-codon position. The record is from RNAcentral. Lineage: Bacteria; Pseudomonadati; Pseudomonadota; Betaproteobacteria; Burkholderiales; Burkholderiaceae.